This 460-nucleotide ribosomal RNA is filed under the name uncultured bacterium. Its description in RNAcentral is "partial 16S ribosomal RNA". It matches the Rfam family "Bacterial small subunit ribosomal RNA", at positions 338 to 795 of the family's 1533-position model. The record is from RNAcentral.
CCUACGGGAGGCAGCAGUGAGGAAUAUUGGUCAAUGGACGAGCGUCUGAACCAGCCAAGUAGCGUGAAGGAUGACUGCCCUAUGGGUUGUAAACUUCUUUUAUAUGGGAAUAAAAUGUUCCACGUGUGGGAUUUUGUAUGUACCAUAUGAAUAAGGAUCGGCUAACUCCGUGCCAGCAGCCGCGGUAAUACGGAGGAUCCGAGCGUUAUCCGGAUUUAUUGGGGUUAAAGGGAGCGUAGGUGGAUUGUUAAGUCAGUUGUGAAAGUUUGCGGCUCAACCGUAAAAUUGCAGUUGAAACUGGCAGUCUUGAGUACAGUAGAGGUGGGCGGAAUUCGUGGUGUAGCGGUGAAAUGCUUAGAUAUCACGAAGAACUCCGAUUGCGAAGGCAGUUCACUGGACUGCAACUGACACUGAGGCUCGAAAGUGUGGGUAUCAAACAGGAUUAGAUACCCGAGUAGUC